ACUCCUGCGGGAGGCAGCAGUGGGGAAUAUUGCACAAUGGGCGCAAGCCUGAUGCAGCCAUGCCGCGUGUAUGAAGAAGGCCUUCGGGUUGUAAAGUACUUUCAGCGGGGAGGAAGGCGAUAAGGUUAAUAACCUUGUCGAUUGACGUUACCCGCAGAAGAAGCACCGGCUAACUCCGUGCCAGCAGCCGCGGUAAUACGGAGGGUGCAAGCGUUAAUCGGAAUUACUGGGCGUAAAGCGCACGCAGGCGGUCUGUCAAGUCGGAUGUGAAAUCCCCGGGCUCAACCUGGGAACUGCAUUCGAAACUGGCAGGCUAGAGUCUUGUAGAGGGGGGUAGAAUUCCAGGUGUAGCGGUGAAAUGCGUAGAGAUCUGGAGGAAUACCGGUGGCGAAGGCGGCCCCCUGGACAAAGACUGACGCUCAGGUGCGAAAGCGUGGGGAGCAAACAGGAUUAGAUACCCCUGUAGUCCCA
This 471-nucleotide ribosomal RNA is filed under the name uncultured organism. RNAcentral describes it as "partial 16S ribosomal RNA". It matches the Rfam family "Bacterial small subunit ribosomal RNA", at positions 335 to 797 of the family's 1533-position model. The record is from RNAcentral.